Molecule: transfer RNA, 69 nt
Filed under: Ictidomys tridecemlineatus (thirteen-lined ground squirrel)
Lineage: Eukaryota; Metazoa; Chordata; Mammalia; Rodentia; Sciuridae
Description: Spermophilus tridecemlineatus (thirteen-lined ground squirrel) tRNA
Rfam family: tRNA
About the family: Transfer RNA (tRNA) molecules are approximately 80 nucleotides in length. Their secondary structure includes four short double-helical elements and three loops (D, anti-codon, and T loops).
Source: Rfam by way of RNAcentral
GGGGUUGUGGCUCAGUGGUAGAGUGCUUGCCUAGUGAGUACGAGGCCCUGGGUUCAAUUCUCAGCACCA